UACGUAGGGUGCGAGCGUUAAUCGGAAUUACUGGGCGUAAAGCGUGCGCAGGCGGUCUGUUAAGACCGAUGUGAAAUCCCCGGGCUCAACCUGGGAAUGGCAUUUGGGACUGCAAGGCUGGAGUGCGGCAGAGGAGACUGGAAUUCCUGGUGUAGCAGUGAAAUGCGUAGAUAUCAGGAGGAAUACCGAUGGCGAAGGCAGGUCUCUGGGCUGACACUGACGCUCAUGCACGAAAGCGUGGGGAGCAAACAGG
Molecule: ribosomal RNA, 253 nt
Filed under: uncultured bacterium
Lineage: Bacteria
Description: partial 16S ribosomal RNA
Rfam family: Bacterial small subunit ribosomal RNA
Source: RNAcentral